RNAcentral lists this ribosomal RNA (1289 nucleotides) under uncultured rumen bacterium. RNAcentral's name for it is "partial 16S ribosomal RNA". It matches the Rfam family "Bacterial small subunit ribosomal RNA", at positions 48 to 1321 of the family's 1533-position model. The record is from RNAcentral.
CUAACACAUGCAAGUCGAACGGGGAUUUUGUUUCGGCAGAAUCCUAGUGGCGAACGGGUGAGUAACGCGUAGGCAACCUGCCCCCCGGUCUGGGACAACACCCCGAAAGGGGUGCUAAUACCGGAUCCGAAGAUGACACCGCAUGGUGUUAUCUUGAAAGAUGGCCUCUAUUUAUAAGCUAUCGCCGGGGGAUGGGCCUGCGUCCGAUUAGCUGGUUGGUGGGGUAACGGCCCACCAAGGCGACGAUCGGUAGCCGGUCUGAGAGGAUGAACGGCCACAUUGGGACUGAGACACGGCCCAGACUCCUACGGGAGGCAGCAGUGGGGAAUCUUCCGCAAUGGGCGCAAGCCUGACGGAGCAACGCCGCGUGGGUGAGGAAGUUCUUCGGAACGUAAAGCCCUGUUGUUUAUGACGAACGGGCUUCCUGUGAACAAUGGGAAGCAGUGACGGUAAUAGACGAGGAAGCCACGGCUAACUACGUGCCAGCAGCCGCGGUAAUACGUAGGUGGCAAGCGUUGUCCGGAAUUAUUGGGCGUAAAGCGCAUGUAGGCGGCGGUUUAAGUCUGUCGUGAAACUGCGGGGCUCAGCCCCGUAUGGCGAUGGAAACUGGGCGGCUUGAGUGCAGGAGAGGAAAGGGGAACUCCCAGUGUAGCGGUGAAAUGCGUAGAUAUUGGGAAGAACACCGGUGGCGAAGGCGCCUUUCUGGACUGUGUCUGACGCUGAGAUGCGAAAGCCAGGGUAGCGAACGGGAUUAGAUACCCCGGUAGUCCUGGCCGUAAACGAUGGGUACUAGGUGUGGGAGGUAUCGACCCCUUCCGUGCCGGAGUUUAACGCAAUAAGUACCCCGCCUGGGGAGUACGGCCGCAAGGCUUAAACUCAAAGGAAUUGACGGGGGCCGCACAAGCGGUGGAGUAUGUGGUUUAUUCGACGCAACGCGAAGAACCUUACCAGGGCUUGACAUCACUGAAAGAUGCAAAGAUGUAUCCCUCUCUUCGGAGACAGGAGACAGGUGGUGCAUGGCUGUCGUCAGCUCGUGUCUGAGAUGUUGGGUUAAGUCGCGCAACGAGCCCACCCCUAUUCCCAUGGUACCAUCAUUUGAUUGGGGACUCCAUGGGAAACUGCCAGGACACCCUGGAGCAGGCGGGAUUAACGUCAGGUCUCAGCCCUUUAGGUCCGGGCUUCAACUUACAUCACAGUGGCGGGCUACAAGGGAUCGUGAGCCGAGGCGUAAGCAAUCCCAAGCCCUGUCCUAUUGCGAUAUCUACGAGCUGUCGCACCCGCGUCGUAGU